Molecule: small nucleolar RNA, 133 nt
Organism: Ochotona curzoniae (black-lipped pika)
Lineage: Eukaryota; Metazoa; Chordata; Mammalia; Lagomorpha; Ochotonidae
Product: small nucleolar RNA SNORA70
Exons: 1
Source: RefSeq, a predicted model, not a curated record
GAGAAGCUAAUGAAGCUGAUCAGUUCCCCUUCUUCUUGGGAACACGUGUGCAGUGCCUGCCCACAGCAGUCUGCUUGGAAGUGUGUACAACCUGUUAUCCUAUAGGCUGCCCUUUAGGACCUCUGAAACAGCC